This 492-nucleotide ribosomal RNA is filed under the name uncultured bacterium. RNAcentral's name for it is "partial 16S ribosomal RNA". It matches the Rfam family "Bacterial small subunit ribosomal RNA", at positions 29 to 507 of the family's 1533-position model. The record is from RNAcentral.
AGUGAACGCUGGCGGUAGACCUAACACAUGCAAGUCGAACGGCAGCACAGUAAGAGCUUGCUCUUACGGGUGGCGAGUGGCGGACGGGUGAGGAAUACAUCGGAAUCUACUUUUUCGUGGGGGAUAACGUAGGGAAACUUACGCUAAUACCGCAUACGACCUACGGGUGAAAGCAGGGGAUCUUCGGACCUUGCGCGAUUGAAUGAGCCGAUGUCGGAUUAGCUAGUUGGGGGGGUAAAGGCCCACCAAGGCGACGAUCCGUAGCUGGUCUGAGAGGAUGAUCAGCCACACUGGAACUGAGACACGGUCCAGACUCCUACGGGAGGCAGCAGUGGGGAAUAUUGGACAAUGGGCGCAAGCCUGAUCCAGCCAUACCGCGUGGGUGAAGAAGGCCUUCGGGUUGUAAAGCCCUUUUGUUGGGAAAGAAAAGCAGCAGGUUAAUACCCCGCUGUUCUGACGGUACCCAAAGAAUAAGCACCGGCUAACUUCGUG